AGAUUGAACGCUGGCGGCAUGCCUAACACAUGCAAGUCGAACGGGAGUAGCAAUACUCUAGUGGCGGACGGGUGAGGAAUACGUAGGAAUUUGCCCUUAAGUGGGGGAUAACCCGGGGAAACCCGGAUUAAUACCGCAUGACCUCGAAAGAGCAAAGUGGGGGAUCGCAAGACCUCACGCUUUUGGAGAAGCCUACGUCGGAUUAGCUAGUUGGUGAGGUAAUGGCUCACCAAGGCGACGAUCCGUAACUGGUCUGAGAGGAUGAUCAGUCACACCGGAACUGAGACACGGUCCGGACUCCGUACGGGAGGCAGCAGUGGGGAAUAGUUGCGCAAUGG
This 338-nucleotide ribosomal RNA is filed under the name uncultured soil bacterium. Its description in RNAcentral is "bacterial SSU rRNA". It matches the Rfam family "Bacterial small subunit ribosomal RNA", at positions 26 to 374 of the family's 1533-position model. The record is from RNAcentral.